CCACUGCAUUUUUCUAGAUGUGGUACGAGCUCGACGAACGGUUCCUUGUGGGAACAAAUUAGUGCAGUAAACGGCCAAGAAGCAAUUAAAACGAGUGUGCGCUUCUUCGCUAAACCAGGCCAUCCAUUGAGGAUGACCUAACAUGGUAAAGGUCCAUGACAGCGGCUCGAAAACUCCUGACAAGUCACCGUUGCCCUCAAAAGAGACCCCUCGGCUUUUAAACGGAUGUGCAAUAACCCCCGAACCAAAGGUUGAGUGCAUUUGCAUGGCAACAGCCAGCCUGUCCUUCAGCUAAUAUAGGAAGAGGCAAGAAAACCAUAGAAGCAUCAUGUUGUGACUAAUUUUCUCAGCAUUGAGCCACAUGGCUGACUUGAUCACUUCUUGCUGCUGCACAAAGCAGAAGAAGAUGACAGCAGCGGGAUGACUCAACCGCUGUAAAGGACAACAGCAAGUGUGGACCGUGUCGCAGGACAAAACAACAUCCAGUCCGCAUGUCUUCUGAUCCUUUUUUUCUUGGGUGAUGCCACGUUUGUUCUAAUGAUGACUUUUCCGGAAACUCCCAGUGGGGAAGUCGGAUCCCGUCUGACAGCUGACAAGCGUGACAGCUUCCCAUUCCUAUUCCCAAUCAUGAUCAUCUCAACUGAUUCCGAAAAAAAAUAAAUAAAACAGUUGUGGUCACU
Hippocampus comes (tiger tail seahorse) is the source of this 680-nucleotide long non-coding RNA. RefSeq lists it as uncharacterized. The record is from RefSeq and is a predicted model, not a curated record. NCBI's taxonomy places the organism in Eukaryota, Metazoa, Chordata, Actinopteri, Syngnathiformes, Syngnathidae. The transcript is spliced from 4 exons.